RNAcentral lists this ribosomal RNA (273 nucleotides) under uncultured bacterium. RNAcentral describes it as "partial 16S ribosomal RNA". It matches the Rfam family "Bacterial small subunit ribosomal RNA", at positions 524 to 796 of the family's 1533-position model. The record is from RNAcentral.
UACGUAGGGGGCAAGCGUUGUCCGGAUUUAUUGGGCGUAAAGAGCGUGUAGGCGGUCAGGUAGGUCGGUUGUGAAAACUGGAGGCUCAACCUUCAGAGGUCGACCGAAACCCCCUGGCUAGAGUCCGGGAGAGGAGAGUGGAAUUCCUGGUGUAGCGGUGAAAUGCGCAGAUAUCAGGAAGAACACCCGUGGCGAAAGCGGCUCUCUGGAACGGUACUGACGCUGAGACGCGAAAGCGUGGGGAGCGAACAGGAUUAGAAACCCCCGUAGUCC